UACGAAGGGGGCUAGCGUUGCUCGGAAUCACUGGGCGUAAAGCGCACGUAGGCGGAUUGCUAAGUCAGGGGUGAAAUCCUGGAGCUCAACUCCAGAACUGCCUUUGAUACUGGCAAUCUCGAGUCCGGGAGAGGUGAGUGGAACUGCGAGUGUAGAGGUGAAAUUCGUAGAUAUUCGCAAGAACACCAGUGGCGAAGGCGGCUCACUGGCCCGGUACUGACGCUGAGGCGCGAAAGCGUGGGGAGCAAACAGG
RNAcentral lists this ribosomal RNA (253 nucleotides) under uncultured bacterium. RNAcentral describes it as "partial 16S ribosomal RNA". It matches the Rfam family "Bacterial small subunit ribosomal RNA", at positions 524 to 776 of the family's 1533-position model. The record is from RNAcentral.